Herpailurus yagouaroundi (jaguarundi) is the source of this 5606-nucleotide long non-coding RNA. RefSeq lists it as uncharacterized. Lineage: Eukaryota; Metazoa; Chordata; Mammalia; Carnivora; Felidae. The transcript is spliced from 2 exons. The record is from RefSeq and is a predicted model, not a curated record.
GGAAACUCUUUUCUCUCUCCUUUUCCGUUCUCUCUAUUCCUUUUGCUCUUCUCCCUUUUCUGCUCCCUUCACUCUUUCUUCACCCCUGUUUUUAUCUCAUUCUCUCUACUCCCACGACACUCCCCCCCCCACCCCCACCCCCAGCCCUGGCUUCGGCGCCCUGGGCUCAGGCGGCCUAAAGUUGGGGACACUUAGGGUGCUGUGUGGGGGGUGUGAGUCCGUGGAUCUGUGUCUAAGUCUGUGUGUCCGUCCCCGCCCUCACCUCCUCCCUUGCCCUUCCCCAAAUCUCGGGUCUGACGUCGCGCCCUCUUAUUCGACUUUUCCUCGCGUCUCCUUCCCGAGUCGCCAAUCGCCUGGGCGCCUUCCAGGCGGGGCCGCCCACCCCGGAGGAUACGGCGCGCUGGGCGGGGCGGGGCGGGGCGGGGCCGCGAGCCCGGGCGCUGGGAGUCCUUGCCCGCCCCCUCCGGCCUGCGCGGGGAGGGGGAGCGGGAGGCGCUGGGGACGCGGGUUAGGACGGGGUCAGCUCGCCCCUCCCCGCCGCCCGCCCUCGGUACCUCUCCCCCCGCCCCAGCGCGGGGCCUGGGUCGGGACCAGAUCCUGGUCCAGGGCAGGCGCUGGGGCUUUCCUCGGCCCGGACCCUUUUUCGGCUCGCACCUCUAGACCCCAGGCACUGUCCGCGGCGUAGGAAAAAAGCUAGAAGAAUUCGCGAGGGGGUGAAGGGGUGCACCCCGGUCGAAUCUUCAAAGGCCAUCUCAUUGCCCAGGGGAGCGAAACAGACCCCUACCCGGCCACUUUAACGCCUCCGGUGUCCGGGUGCGAAUCUCUUAUUAGAAAUGGCGGGCUCUGCCUUUGCAGGGACUGAAGUGUGGACACCCGCCCCCCCCCCCCCCCCCCCGUCCCGCCCCGGGGAUCCUGGGGAGCCACGACUGGGAAGUGGAGCCUGCCGGUGCCCUAAGCGGGUGUGCGAUGGUGGAGGAGCAGAGAGCCGGUGGCUGAGGCUCCAGGAACUUUCCCAGAGCGCUCCGAGAAGUUUGUAUAUUGGAAUUUUCGGUCUGUAGACACCCUUCCUUUCACUACCCCUUCCCCUGCGCCCCGGUCGCCGUGCCAACACGCUUUCUUUCCGUAAGGAUCCUAUCACCGUCUCGGGUGGGGAUGGGAGGCAAGACUUUUGGUCCCACAGUGGAAUAUUUCCUAAAUCGAACCUGAAAUCCCAGUAUCCGAACGCCCACCUUCACGGAUUAGGGCGUGCAGCCGGCAGCAGGAUUGACAUUCCCGGAAUCGUAGAGGCUCUGGGCUAAAAGCUUUAGGCCGCGGCUGCGACUGACGCGCAGGCCAGACCUGCCGCGGUAGCGCUCCGGGGACAACACGGAGGCGGCGACUCUGUCCUGGAGUGGCCAGUUCGGGCUUCGAGGCGGAAACUGGCCGCCGCGCGCUGAUGGAGAGGGCAAUUGAAUCCGAAUUCCAUCAGAGUGAGGGGCCCGGGCUAUCUUUGGUCCAAGCAGCUUUGGGCAUUCCAGUUGAGGAAUGAACUCCCAGUUUUGACCUCGCCCAUCACUCCCCCCCCCCCCCCCCCCGUCUUCUUUCCACGGGGCUUGGCACCCGGCGGCGGCUCCAGAGAAAAAUGGGGUGGAAGACAAGGGAAAGUUUGGGGGCGGCCAGGUUUGGGGUUCAAGUGGGGAAACUGACUUGUGUGGCCUUUUCAAAUUCCUCAAAUCCGGUCGAGCUCUUUCCCAUAGCCUCUCCCCACCUGCUUCUCUUCCAGAUACCGGGCGUUGGCCUUAGCUGGAGUCUCCCCAGAGGAGGAGAUAUCAGGGGAAGCUCUGGCUUUGAAAUGUUUCCUCGGAGCCUGAUUUCGUUUGCAGUUAAACCUCGAAGCCAAAUGGCAUAGGGAGUCAUGGGGCUCACCUUCUCGCGGAAGAUUUCAGGGGUGACAAAACUGAGGGUAACAUUAUUUCCCGGACUGUUUCCUAGGUGUCAGACCUCGAGCCUCGACGGCCCUGAACCCUAGAGUUUGUGCAAAGUGGUGGCGCCAGACCAGAGCGAGCCAAGAGCUAGGUUCCGAGGUGGGGACUCUGGGGCUGCGCUGUAAAUGCCCGGAUGAAACGCUCGCUAUUUAACUCAGCUCUUCCAGAAGGAUAAGAGAAAAACCAUGAGCCCCGGAGACGCUUCUUCCACAUUAACCAACUAUUGACCUGGCAGCGUGGAGGCCAGGAAAGGGACAAGGUUGUUCUCAGUGACCCAACCACGAAGGUCUAAGGGCGCUCAUAGCCCCGAAGGCACCCCCCCUCCAAACCCAUACGCGUACUCAAGAAGGCGCCCAGGUCCUGGGCGGAAGCGGCCUCUUCGCUACCCUAGUGUCCAGCAGAGAUCAGCCCCGCCCUUGCCCCGGCGAUCCGCGCUUCACGUCGGGACUCAGCGUCGUAGGCGGCCGAGCCCCGACGUGGCACUGGCUCCCCAACUCGACGGGGCCAACGGAUCCCGGCUCCGGACUGAACUCUGGGGUUCGAGGACAGCCGAACCAUUUCCAGAGCUUUUUAAUCCAAGGGAUGAGGUCAAAGUGAUACACUCGCACAGGGAGGAAAAGCAGGUGCACGGGAAGCUGAUUUGGGAAAGGCACGCGCGCACAAACGUGCCGCACACAAAAGCGUCUCCGUCUUUUCGCCUUCUUCCAACGUUCCCGGCGCACAAAGCGCCUCGGAGUCUUGCUGUAGGCGCUCUCUCUACGCGGCCCAGAGUGUGGCAGUGCACGGAGAGGGUGUCCCUAGCACACGUUUGGUGCACGCAGCAGCGUUCGCUGGACUCGCACCCGGGGCCGCGCGGCCCGACGUAUGCCCAGGGGCCGCGCGGCCCGCCAGGCUCAAGGGCAGCGCCGCGCACUGAAAGCGAGCACCUAGCCACCAGGCCCACUUCCCGCCCCCUCCUCGCCCAGCCCCACGGUGCGCGCGCGCGUCCCCGUCGAGGGGCGCCGCUGUCGCCCUAGGUCUCCCCGCCGAGGCCCAUCUUCAGUUCUUCUCUCCCAGAACCGAAAUCCCCGGGCUGCAGUGCGGCCGGCGAUCCCUCCGCUUCCUGCAGACGCCGCGGCGCACGCUCCCGCCGCUCCCUCCCCCCGCGCUCGGGUUACAGCAGCCCUGCAGACACCCGGAGUGCGUGGCCUGGCGUCCUCACCGGGAGGGAUUUGCAUCAGGCCGGAAUCCGGACCCCGGGCAUCCCAGGAGGCGCGGGCCGGCGGCCUCCAGAGCCGCCCCGGAACGGGCUGCCGCUCCCCACCAGCCGCCAGGGCCUCGGAGCCGGUCCCUGCGUCCCGAGAAGCGUCGGGGAAACUUUGGGAGAAACUUUGCCAACUUUGCUCUCGGCGAGGGAGAGGCCGCCCGGCCGGCCGCGGCGGCUGCGGGCCGCGACGCGCAGAGUGGGCCCCAAGUCAGGCCUGGGCACCCCGGAGCCUGCAGGGCAGCCCAAGGAGGGGUGCGAGGCCGGCCGGCGGCCCCUGGCACCCCGCUGCGCCCCCGCGCGUCCCCCACCUGGCCCUCGGGCCCCCGUCUCCGAGCUGCCCGCGACUCGCAGAGCCCAGGAUGGCCGGGACCGAAAACCUGGCCUUCAGCGCAAGUGAUCUGAUUUUUCUUUACCUCUCCACGAUCAUCCUUUUUCCACCUGACUUGAGCAGUUUCUCUGCCUCCCUCUCCUUUGUUUUCCUCUCCCCGUCUGUGUCUGUCUGUCCCGCUGUCUGGGUAUUCGAUUUCUAACUCCUUCAUGUCCAUUCUUUCCUCCGCGCGCUCCCCAUUUCGUUGUUUUAUCCGCUCCUCUGGACCACUUCGCAGUUACUUUUCUCAGUUUUGCUCCUUCCCUUAUUUUGUCUGUUUUUACCCCUGUCUGCCCCUCGCCCUCUCCCUCAUUUCUCCGUCCACCUUUCUUUCGUUCGUUCAUCCUAAUCUAUUUCCUUCUCCGAUUCCUUGGUCUGCGUCUCAGGCUCUGCUGCGCUUGUAUUUUCUCUCUUCUCCUCUUCCUCCCCGGGACGUGUGGGCCCCCCCCCCCCCCCCCCGUGGAUCUGCCUUCCCUGCGGCGCCCCCUCCUCAUCCAUCUUGGGAGAUGAAUAUGUCGCCUUAUUGGAUGCCGAGGCCGGAGCCGGGUGAUGGGGCUCGGCCAGCCUAGUGCAUUUUCUUCAUGCAUAUUGAGGAGAUGGUAAUGAGCGCGUUUGCAUUGUUGCAGGGAACUACUCCGUUUCCGGCCGCAAUUCGGGGCCGGCGAGGGUGGCGCGGGCCCAAGAGAGCCCGCAGCGGGCGCCCGGCCUGGUGGCCGCAGCUGGCCCUCAACGGGAUGGCGGGUGCUCGGGCCCCGGGGAGGAAGUGACCUCUCGGAGAGCUCGGCCCGGCCGCCGCCGCCGCCUCCUCGGGCUUCUCCACAAAGGCCGGCCGCGCUCCCCUCAUUAAAAGCCUCGUUACGGGAACCCCCGCCUCGCUCGCGAAGGUUCCCUCGCGCCCCCGACCCGUGGGCCUCUGCCCCCCCCCCCCUCCCCUGGUGCUUCGAGGCCUGUGAUGGAGCGCCACCAGGAAAUUAGCGCCUGACAACGUCGUCGUCUAGUGGCAAUGAAUUGUUUGAAAUGAGUGACACGUCGCGGGAUCAAACACAGCCUCAUUGUGUCCCCGGCUCCACUCACUCCUUAAUCUGGAAGGGCGCAGCGGCUUCGCUGGGCCAGGGAAGGUUGCCACAGGCCCCUGGCUUGUCCCUGCCGGGCUCCGGCCUGGGCUCAGCCUGACAGAGCCGACCUGGAGGACCCAGUCAUUCUAGAGGGGGCAUGUCUCUCUCUGAGAAGGUCCCCAGAGCUCAGGAGACAGGACCGGGCCUGCCUCUCAAAGAGGUGAAGGUGUAUGAAAGUCAGGACUUGCAGGGAGCAAAUUCCCAGUCGAGCUCAAGAGGGAACCGACUGCUGGAACAGUCAGAAAGGCCUGGAUGCCCAGCUCCAGAUGCAGCGGAGCGGGGAACCUCUGGGUGUUGGACGGUUUGCCCUCCUCCGCCAGCCUCCUCCCAACUCGAAACUGGGAAAGCUGAGAAAACAUCAGGAUCUGGGCUUGUCUGGAGUCAGCGGUGUUGAGUUUCCCAAACUUCAAGCCCUCCGCCACCACCUCUGCUAUUGUUUAACAUUUUUCCUUAAGUUGACUCAUUUUAAAUACUUAAAUACAUGUUUUGGGAAAGAAAACCUGAUACAGCUACUGCAAAUUGAAAAGUGGGUCUUACUCACCAUAAAGGGAAAUGGGAAGAGAUAAAAAAAAAAAAAAAACAACUAAAACCAAGUGAUCUAAAACAUUUGAGCCACGGUGCUUGCUCGGGAAUCACUUCGAGAGGGUGUGUGCGUGUGUGUGUGUAUUGAUUAGCAAGUAUUGGAAUUAUUCAAUACUGGAUCUUUUUCAGAAGAGAUGGGAGAAUUGAAAAGGGGAUCCUUCUUAUUACUCAACAAUAUUAAUUCUCUGCCUCUAAGAGAAAUCAUAUUGAGGACCCCAAAGGCCGCAGGGCCGUAGGGUUUAGUUAAUAUCAUUCUCUGUUGAAGAGUAUGUAAAAAAAAAAAAAAAAUUAGGAUUGAAUAAAAACGUGUUGCCUUAUUAUAAUUUACCCAA